RNAcentral lists this ribosomal RNA (503 nucleotides) under uncultured bacterium. Its description in RNAcentral is "bacterial SSU rRNA". It matches the Rfam family "Bacterial small subunit ribosomal RNA", at positions 9 to 507 of the family's 1533-position model. The record is from RNAcentral.
GAGUUUGAUCCUGGCUCAGAUUAAACGCUGGCGGCAUGCCUUACACAUGCAAGUCGAACGGCAGCACGGGGGCAACCCUGGUGGCGAGUGGCGGACGGGUGAGUAAAGCACCGGAACGUAUCCUGGAGUGGGGGAUAACGUAGCGAAAGUUACGCUAAUACCGCAUAUUCUGUGAGCAGGAAAGCAGGGGAUCGCAAGACCUUGCGCUCUGGGAGCGGCCGAUAUCGGAUUAGCUAGUUGGUGGGGUAAAGGCCUACCAAGGCGACGAUCCGUAGCGGGUCUGAGAGGAUGAUCCGCCACACUGGGACUGAGACACGGCCCAGACUCCUACGGGAGGCAGCAGUGGGGAAUUUUGGACAAUGGGCGCAAGCCUGAUCCAGCCAUGCCGCGUGAGUGAAGAAGGCCUUCGGGUUGUAAAGCUCUUUCGGCGGGGAAGAAAUUGCACGGGUUAAUACCCUGUGUAGAUGACGGUACCCGAAUAAGAAGCACCGGCUAACUACGUG